AUUGAACGCUGGCGGCAGGCCUAACACAUGCAAGUCGGACGGUAGCACAGAGGAGCUUGCUCCUCGGGUGACGAGCGGCGGACGGGUGAGUAAUGUCUGGGGAUCUGCCCGAUAGAGGGGGAUAACCACUGGAAACGGUGGCUAAUACCGCAUAACGUCGCAAGACCAAAGAGGGGGACCUUCGGGCCUCUCACUAUCGGAUGAACCCAGAUGGGAUUAGCUAGUAGGCGGGGUAAUGGCCCACCUAGGCGACGAUCCCUAGCUGGUCGGAGAGGAUGACCAGCCACACUGGAACUGAGACACGGUCCAGACUCCUACGGGAGGCAGCAGUGGGGAAUAUUGCGCAAUGGGCGCAAGCCUGAUGCAGCCAUGCCGAGUGUAUGAAGAAGGCCUUCGGGUUGUAAAGUACUUUCAGCGGGGAGGAAGGCGGUGAGGUUAAUAACCUUGCCGAUUGACGUUACCCGCAGAAGAAGCACCGGCUAACUCCGUGCCAGCCGCCGCCGUAA
This 506-nucleotide ribosomal RNA is filed under the name uncultured bacterium. Its description in RNAcentral is "partial 16S ribosomal RNA". It matches the Rfam family "Bacterial small subunit ribosomal RNA", at positions 29 to 523 of the family's 1533-position model. The record is from RNAcentral.